UACGUAGGGCGCAAGCGUUGUCCGGAAUUAUUGGGCGUAAAGAGCUCGUAGGCGGUUUGUCGCGUCUGCUGUGAAAACCUCAGGCUCAACCUGGGGCUUGCAGUGGGUACGGGCAGACUAGAGUGCGGUAGGGGUGACUGGAAUUCCUGGUGUAGCGGUGAAAUGCGCAGAUAUCAGGAGGAACACCGGUGGCGAAGGCGGGUCUCUGGGCCGAUACUGACGCUGAGACGCGAAAGCGUGGGGAGCGAACAGG
Molecule: ribosomal RNA, 253 nt
Filed under: uncultured bacterium
Lineage: Bacteria
Description: partial 16S ribosomal RNA
Rfam family: Bacterial small subunit ribosomal RNA
Source: RNAcentral